UACAGAGGGUGCAAGCGUUGUCCGGAAUGAUUGGGCGUAAAGCAUCUGUAGGUGGUUUCUAAAGUCAACUGUCAAAUCCCAGAGCUUAACUUUGGACAGGCAGUUGAGUACUUAGGGACUUGAGUAUGGUAGGGGUAGAGGGAAUUCCUAGUGGAGCGGUGAAAUGCACAGAGAUUAGGAAGAACACCAGUGGCGAAAGCGCUCUACUGGGCCAUGACUGACACUGAGAGAUGAAAGUUAGGGGAGCGAA
This 250-nucleotide ribosomal RNA is filed under the name uncultured bacterium. RNAcentral describes it as "partial 16S ribosomal RNA". It matches the Rfam family "Bacterial small subunit ribosomal RNA", at positions 524 to 772 of the family's 1533-position model. The record is from RNAcentral.